Molecule: ribosomal RNA, 548 nt
Filed under: uncultured bacterium
Lineage: Bacteria
Description: bacterial SSU rRNA
Rfam family: Bacterial small subunit ribosomal RNA
Source: RNAcentral
UAGGGAAUAUUGGACAAUGGGCGAAAGCCUGAUCCAGCAAUGCCGCGUGAGUGAAGAAGGCCUUAGGGUUGUAAAGUACUUUUGUUAGGGAAGAAAAGCUAGUUUUUAAUAAAAAUUAGUGAUGACGGUACCUAAAGAAUAAGCACCGGCUAACUACGUGCCAGCAGCCGCGGUAAUACGUAGGGUGCAAGCGUUAAUCGGAAUUAUUGGGCGUAAAGCGAGUGCAGACGGUUACUUAAGCCAGAUGUGAAAUCCCCAAGCUUAACUUGGGACGUGCAUUUGGAACUGGGUGACUAGAGUGUGUCAGAGGGAGGUAGAAUUCCACAUGUAGCGGUGGAAUGCGUAGAGAUGUGGAGGAAUACCGAUGGCGAAGGCAGCCUCCUGGGAUAACACUGACGUUGAGGCUCGAAAGCGUGGGGAGCAAACAGGAUUAGAUACCCUGGUAGUCCACGCCCUAAACGAUGACAAUUAGCUGUUGGGCUUUGAAAGGCUUAGUAGCGAAGCUAACGCGAGAAAUUGUCCGCCUGGGGAGUACGGUCGCAAGAUUA